Molecule: ribosomal RNA, 506 nt
Filed under: uncultured bacterium
Lineage: Bacteria
Description: partial 16S ribosomal RNA
Rfam family: Bacterial small subunit ribosomal RNA
Source: RNAcentral
AGUGAACGCUGGCGGUAGGCCUAACACAUGCAAGUCGAACGGCAGCACAGGAGAGCUUGCUCUCUGGGUGGCGAGUGGCGGACGGGUGAGGAAUACAUCGGAAUCUACUCUGUCGUGGGGGAUAACGUAGGGAAACUUACGCUAAUACCGCAUACGACCUACGGGUGAAAGCAGGGGACCUUCGGGCCUUGCGCGAUUGAAUGAGCCGAUGUCGGAUUAGCUCGUUGGCGGGGUAAAGGCCCACCAAGGCGACGAUCCGUAGCUGGUCUGAGAGGAUGAUCAGCCACACUGGAACUGAGACACGUGCCAGACUCCUACGGGAGGCAGCAGUGGGGAAUAUUGGACAAUGGGCGCAAGCCUGAUCCAGCCAUACCGCGUGGGUGAAGAAGGCCUUCGGGUUGUAAAGCCCUUUUGUUGGGAAAGAAAUCCAGCUGGCUAAUACCCGGUUGGGAUGACGGUACCCAAAGAAUAAGCACCGGCUAACUUCGUGCCAGCAGCCGCAGUAA